This 561-nucleotide long non-coding RNA is filed under the name Mytilus galloprovincialis (Mediterranean mussel). The record is from RNAcentral. Lineage: Eukaryota; Metazoa; Mollusca; Bivalvia; Mytilida; Mytilidae.
GGGGUUUUUGAACAUCUAGAACGUGCUACACUCGCGCAGUACGAGGCAUCAGAUUUGAUCGUUACGGCUAACCGAUGCGACUAGUUAAUAUGAUAUGUUUAUGGGAAGAAAGAAGUGAAGGAAGGUAAUUAUUUUUAUAAAACAGUCAACAUAUUUUAUUAGGUAAACUAUGUGAUUGUAAACGGUCGAGAAUGGUUGACUGUUGUCGUUUGCUUAACAAAUAUCAUGUUCACUCCAUUGAACUCAGACAUCACUACGGUAAACUUAAAAUUGCAUAAAAAGUGAUGUUUUAUCAGGUCCUAGUAUAAGCCCCAUUCACCUUGUCACGUGUUAUUAUGUUUCAAAAUGCUACGUUUCAACUACGUUUUGAAUAAAAAUGUCCCGUUUAUUUUAAAGUUAGGUUUUACUAGGUUUGUGCUAAUACGUAGCAAAACGGGAUAAGAAGGUAUUCUUAUCACGUUUUGCUACAUAUUAGCAAGUGUAAACCCACGUUUCCACCCUUCAUUGAUACGUAUCGAUACGUGGUUAGCACGUUUUGUUUAUACGUUCCCCUAAGCGUCG